Molecule: ribosomal RNA, 251 nt
Filed under: uncultured bacterium
Lineage: Bacteria
Description: partial 16S ribosomal RNA
Rfam family: Bacterial small subunit ribosomal RNA
Source: RNAcentral
UACCUACGGGGGGCAGCAGUGGGGAAUAUUGCACAAUGGGGGAAACCCUGAUGCAGCGACGCCGCGGGAGUGAAGAAGUAAUUCGUUAAGUAAAGCUGUAUCAGCAGGGAAGAAAAUGACGGUACCUGAGUAAGAAGCCCCGGCUAACUACGUGCCAGCAGCCGCGGUAAUACGUAGGGGGCAAGCGUUAUCCGGAUUUACUGGGUGUAAAGGGAGCGUAGACGGUGGGCCAAGUCUGGAGUGAAAUGCAG